Molecule: ribosomal RNA, 1362 nt
Filed under: metagenome
Description: SSU rRNA
Rfam family: Eukaryotic small subunit ribosomal RNA
Source: RNAcentral
ACUGAUUGAUCCUGUCAGCAGUAUUUGCUUGUUCAGAAGACUAAGCCAUGCAUGUAUAAGUUCACACCUUAAUACGGUGAAACCGCGAAUGGCUCAUUAAAUUAGCUAUUAUUUAUUAGAUCUUACAAGAUUACUUGGAUAACUGUAGUAAUUCUAGAGCUAAUACAUGAAUAUGUGCUUUGGUUUAUGCCGAAUGCGAAUUUAUUAGAUCAAAACCAACCGGUUUCGGCCGUUAAAUUGGUGACUCUGGAUAACUAUUCUGAUCGCAUGACCUUGUGUCGGCGACGUAUCUUUCAAGUGUCUGCCCUAUUAACUUAAGUUGGUGAGUUAGUUGCUCACCAUGGUUAUAACGGGUAACGGAGAAUUAGUGUUCGAUACCGGAGAGGGAGCCUUAGAAACGGCUACCACAUCUAAGGAAGGCAGCAGGCGCGCAAAUUACCUAUUUUUAGAAUGAGGAGGUAGUGAAUUUAAAUAGCGAUGAUGAACUCUUAUGAGGCUCGUCAAUCGAAAUGAGUACAAUUUAAAUCCUUUAACGAGUACCAAUUGGAGGGCAAGUCUGGUGCCAGCAGCCGCGGUAAUUCCAGCUCCAAUAGCGAAUAUUAAAUUUGUUGCAGUUAAAAAGCUCGUAGUUGGAUCCAAGGUUAGGCAUGCCUGUCUGUUCUUAGUAGCAUGACUGUGUGUGUCUGCCUUUAUUAGUUGAAUGUUCAUUAUGGUGGUCUUUAUUGACUGCUAUGAUGUGCUCAACACGUUUACCUUGAAAAAAUCAGAGCGAUCAAGGCAGGCCUUUGUGCUUGUAUGUUGUUGCAAGGAAUAAUAGAAUAGGACUUCGGUUCUAUUUUGUUGGUUUUGAGAAUUGAAGUAAUGAACAAUAGAGACAGUCGGGGGCAUUUGUAUGGUGGCGUUAGAGGUGAAAUUUUGAGAUCGUCGCCAGACAAAUUAUUGCGAAAGCAUUUGCCAAGGAUGUCUUCAUUAAUCAAGAAUGAAAGUCAGAGGUUCGAAGACGAUUAGAUACCGUCCUAGUUCUGACCAUAAACGAUGCCGACCUACAAUCGGGGGUGGUUUAUUAUAUUGACCCUCCCGGCUGUCCUCAGGAAAUUUUAAGUUGGUUCUGGGGGGAAUAUGGUCUCAAGACUGAAACUUAAAGGAAUUGACGGAAGGGCACCACCAGGAGUGGAGCCUGCGGCUUAAUUUGAUUUAAUACGGGGAAUUUUACCCGGUCCGGACAUUGGUAGGAUGGACAGAUUGAUAGCUCUUUCUUGAUUCAGUGGGUGGUGGUGCAUGGCCGUUCUUAGUUGGUGGAGUGAUUUGUUUGGUUAAUUUUGAUAAUGAACGAGACUCUGUCCUGCUAAAUAGUCCAGUGGC